GGGGAAACCCAGUGUGAUUCGUCACACUAUCAUUAACUGAAUCCAUAGGUUAAUGAGGCGAACCGGGGGAACUGAAACAUCUAAGUACCCCGAGGAAAAGAAAUCAACCGAGAUUCCCCCAGUAGCGGCGAGCGAACGGGGAGCAGCCCAGAGCCUGAAUCAGUGUGUGUGUUAGUGGAAGCGUCUGGAAAGGCGUGCGAUACAGGGUGACAGCCCCGUACACAAAAAUGCACAUGCUGUGAGCUCGAUGAGUAGGGCGGGACACGUGGUAUCCUGUCUGAAUAUGGGGGGACCAUCCUCCAAGGCUAAAUACUCCUGACUGACCGAUAGUGAACCAGUACCGUGAGGGAAAGGCGAAAAGAACCCCGGCGAGGGGAGUGAAAAAGAACCUGAAACCGUGUACGUACAAGCAGUGGGAGCACAGAGCAAUCUGUGUGACUGCGUACCUUUUGUAUAAUGGGUCAGCGACUUAUAUUCUGUAGCAAGGUUAACCGAAUAGGGGAGCCGAAGGGAAACCGAGUCUUAACUGGGCGUUAAGUUGCAGGGUAUAGACCCGAAACCCGGUGAUCUAGCCAUGGGCAGGUUGAAGGUUGGGUAACACUAACUGGAGGACCGAACCGACUAAUGUUGAAAAAUUAGCGGAUGACUUGUGGCUGGGGGUGAAAGGCCAAUCAAACCGGGAGAUAGCUGGUUCUCCCCGAAAGCUAUUUAGGUAGCGCCUCGUGAAUUCAUCUCCGGGGGUAGAGCACUGUUUCGGCAAGGGGGUCAUCCCGACUUACCAACCCGAUGCAAACUGCGAAUACCGGAGAAUGUUAUCACGGGAGACACACGGCGGGUGCUAACGUCCGUCGUGAAGAGGGAAACAACCCAGACCGCCAGCUAAGGUCCCAAAGUCAUGGUUAAGUGGGAAACGAUGUGGGAAGGCCCAGACAGCCAGGAUGUUGGCUUAGAAGCAGCCAUCAUUUAAAGAAAGCGUAAUAGCUCACUGGUCGAGUCGGCCUGCGCGGAAGAUGUAACGGGGCUAAACCAUG
RNAcentral lists this ribosomal RNA (1031 nucleotides) under Escherichia coli. Its description in RNAcentral is "partial 23S ribosomal RNA". It matches the Rfam family "Bacterial large subunit ribosomal RNA", at positions 120 to 1191 of the family's 2925-position model. The record is from RNAcentral. Lineage: Bacteria; Pseudomonadati; Pseudomonadota; Gammaproteobacteria; Enterobacterales; Enterobacteriaceae.